AGCAGAGAUGCUUUGGUGCCUUUCGGGAACUCUGAGACAGGUGCUGCAUGGCUGUCGUCAGCUCGUGUUGUGAAAUGUUGGGUUAAGUCCCGCAACGAGCGCAACCCUUAUCCUUUGUUGCCAGCGGUCCGGCCGGGAACUCAAAGGAGACUGCCAGUGAUAAACUGGAGGAAGGUGGGGAUGACGUCAAGUCAUCAUGGCCCUUACGAGUAGGGCUACACACGUGCUACAAUGGCGCAUACAAAGAGAAGCGACCUCGCGAGAGCAAGCAGACCUCAUAAAGUGCGUCGUAGUCCGGAUUGGAGUCUGCAACUCGACUCCAUGAAGUCGGAAUCGCUAGUAAUCGUGGAUCAGAAUGCCACGGUGAAUACGUUCCCGGGCCUUGUACACACCGCCCGUCACACCAUGGGAGUGGGUUGCAAAAGAAGUAGGUAGCUUAACCUUCGGGAGGGCGCUUACCACUUUGUGAUUCAUGACUGGGGUGAAGUCGUAACAAGGUAAGCGUAGUGCU
Molecule: ribosomal RNA, 511 nt
Filed under: uncultured bacterium
Lineage: Bacteria
Description: bacterial SSU rRNA
Rfam family: Bacterial small subunit ribosomal RNA
Source: RNAcentral